RNAcentral lists this unclassified non-coding RNA (427 nucleotides) under soil metagenome. RNAcentral's name for it is "partial contains 5.8S ribosomal RNA, internal transcribed spacer 2, and large subunit ribosomal RNA". The stretch from base 1 to 120 matches the Rfam family "5.8S ribosomal RNA", at positions 35 to 154 of the family's 154-position model. The record is from RNAcentral.
GAUGAAGAACGCAGCGAAAUGCGAUAAGUAAUGUGAAUUGCAGAUUUCAGUGAAUCAUCGAAUCUUUGAACGCACCUUGCGCCUUGUGGUAUUCCACAAGGCAUGCCCGUUUGAGUAUCAUUAAAUCAUCAACUCUAAAACCUUUGUGGUUUUUUUUAGAGCUUGGUCUUGAGGGUUUUGCAGGCUUUUUUUUUUUUUUCGAGUCUGCUCCCUUUAAAUGCAUUAUCGAGACUUCCCUAUGCUGAACCGUCUCUUUGACGUGAUAAUUAUCUGCGUCGAAUUUUGGUUCUCGUUGGGCUUGCUUCUAAUCGUCUGUUAAAGACAAAACGGAUUUGGGUGCAUAUAUGCGCCUUUUUCCAAAACCUUUUUUUGAUCUCAAAUCGGGUAGGACUACCCGCUGAACUUAAGCAUAUCAAUAAGCGGAGGA